Molecule: long non-coding RNA, 3183 nt
Organism: Calidris pygmaea (Spoon-billed sandpiper)
Lineage: Eukaryota; Metazoa; Chordata; Aves; Charadriiformes; Scolopacidae
Source: Ensembl
GAUGUGUUUUUUCAUGAUCCCAGUAAACUGAAUAAAAGCAAAAGCCCCAAAACUCAUAAUGUGCCUCCCAUAUCUUUUUCUCAACUAGGCAUAUGAAGAGGAUGUAUUGACUUUUUAAUGAAUUUCAAGUUCCACAAAUGGGAGUCUUUCAGGAUCAAAAUAUUAGGGCCAUUUCUGCUGCUGAUCCAUGCUCAGACUCAGCACUUCAGCUGGCAGCUGCCUGCAGGCACCAGAGGAUGCCCAAGCAUCUGUCUUUCAGUGAAAUGGAGGAUACUCUUUCUGAGGGUGAGGGGACACCUCAUUCCCUGCAUGCCUGGGAGAAAGACUUGUCUUCCCCUGGAGAGGAGCAGCCUCUGGAGGCACCUGCCCCUUGUUGCCUUGACCCACAGCACACAUUGUCAUCCUGAAGGAGAAAUUCCUUCCAGGGCUUUGAGGCCAUGUGGGCUGCCUCCCAGUGCCAGUGCAGUGCUGCUCCUCCUGCUUCACUGAAUACUUCCUUGGACUCAGAGACACUAUUUUCACAUGGCCACUGUAGCAACCUUUCCACAUGUGCCACUGGAGAGGGUGCUUCACAGUCCCCAGGAUCAUAUCCUUGUGAUACAGAACGAACAACUCAGCCAGCAGCAACCACCUUCUUCCAAGGCACUGGGAAGCUGGAGAACCCUUUCCUAGUUCUUCACCAUUUUUGGCCCCAAACUUGGCUGCUCUGAACCGAACUCAGUACAAUAGCUGUCCCGCAGAGUGUAGGAAACUCAGAAAUGCUGUGUGUAGAUCCUGAGUUGUUUACCAGAGAGAAAAUUUAAAUCUUCUUCCUUUUAGGGGACCAAGGAUCUGGAGAGGAAACUUCAAGAUGCCUGUCCUUGUACAGGUUUUAUGUGUGCAGCGCAUAAGCCUCAGUCCUCCACUUACAAAGUCCUGAUGGACUUCCCACUCCUGCAGUUGUGGGUAUGAUUUGAAACUGGUUAGGAUGCUAUUGCUUGAUUUUUCUUCUUCAUUUCCAUAUCUUCUCCAGGAAAAAAGCAAAAAAGCCACUGGGGAGUACAGGGGACAGAAUAAGACAGCACUGAGUGUCACUGGGAAAAGUGUGGAAAGGGAAGAGCCCCUUAUGGUAUCGAGGUAGGAGGUGGAGGAGACCCUUGCCAGCAAAAUCUUCCCCCACAGCAAUGCCUUGCAAGUGUCGUGGUCAUCUGCAAGUGACAACAGAGAUACAUCUUGCUCUCAACCGCAUCUCAUCACAUCGCAUCAGCGUGUAACUGCACUCGUAGAGUCUCCCACAUCUAAAGAGAAGUGGCUCUGCACUGAAAAUGUCCCCCGUUACACCCGCAGGAACUCUGGAAGCAGGAAAUACUCUGUCAAAAUGGAAUGGUCCAGGUUAUGGCUUGAUUGAACGAUUUAUCAUUUUUGAAAGGCAUGACAGCUGGUGUGAACUUUUGUAUCAGGUAUCAGCGUUCCCCACUCCAAAUACUUCCAUGUGACUGGCUUUGGUUAAAGAAGGCACUCUUGCUGAAUUUAAUUAGCUGGAAACACAAUUUAAGGGCAGAAACCAUCCCUUCUUGUUACCAAGGAAGAUGGCCUGGAGCGUUGCUCUGUGCCCAAGAGUCUCCCUAGCACAGCUUUCUGGCUGAGAAAACAAUGUGCUAUAUCCAGGAAAAAUAUGAAGGCUAUAUCCAUGCCUAGAAACUGUCACACUGGUAUCUUUAUAAAUUGUACUGAUGUAAAAACAAAGUGCCUUAAUUUAAUUACAUGUGUUUUCCUUGGUUAGUGUAAGAAAAGUUCGGGGGGGGGGCGUAUCUGAGGACCUUUCUCCUAUCAGACUAUCUUGAAAGGCAGAGGCCUCGAAGCAGACCCUGUCUGCUCUGCAGAGAUGUAGACACACACUUUUUGAGCAGACCCAUGCCCCAAGACUCUCAGCGUGCGAGGGCAGUGCAUCCCCCUGCCACAAAUCUGCAGCAAAAGAGGGAGAGAGAGCUUCCCCUGGCUUGGUGCUGCUCCAUGGGCUGGUGUGGUGGCAGGAGCAUAGGGUUCCCUGCACCACACAGCUGGGAGGCUGCUGUGCCCUUGCGAGGAGGUAGAUGAGGCUUUAGUAAGAGGGUAAUAAUGGUUUCUAACCCUUCUGCUGGUCACACAGAGGAAGAAGACUCUUUGCAGCUAUAUAUCUUAGUAGAAGGUGCACCAAGUAUGAAAAUGCAUCUUGAAGGAAAACAGGUGCUUUCAUUUGGCAUUUCUGAAAAAUAUAAAUGGAUGCUGACAAUCCAUCCCCUUCAAUCCAUCCCCUUUUACUGUCUGCAAGCAGCGCCUGGUCUGUGGAGACCUGGUGAACAGCUUGCUAAGAGCUUGUUGAUCAAACCAGCUUAGUUGUGAUCAGCCACGUGGCAUAUUCCCAUGGCCAUGAAGUAAAAACCCUCCACUCUCCUCAAAUAGUCUCUAAAACUCCCCUCCAACUUGCAGUCUUAGCUUGCUACAAGCAUGUCCACUAUGUUUAUAAGGCAAAGGGAACAGGAAAGGGAUGUGUAAGUUAGGCUGCAAAAAUUAUCUUCCAUCUCUUUUUUAGAGGAGAUGAGACAAGAGCCUGCAAAGUUUGGGAGAGCUAAUGUUACUGGUGCACUUGGGUAGGAGACAUCUGCGGUGAAGGUAUGUAUGAACUAAAAGCCCCAGUAAAAUGUGUCUGGUGAGGUUCUAGCCUGAGCAUGUUGAGGAAGAUGUAGGAGAGAUCCCCAUUAUCAUACUGAGCAUCUGGGAACUACGAGUCACUCUUAAGAGAACACACCAAAAAUAGUAAUAUAUGUCCAGGGUGGCAGGCACUGGACCCCCAGACAGAGCUGCAUCAAAUGGCUGGAGAUAACUGGACAAGAAAACAAAUGGCUGGAAAGAUAGCCAUCAAAUUCCUCUUAGUCCUUUCUCUGACACUUUGUUCUCUCUCUGCAAAAUGUUGACAAAGUUCCUUAAGACAGAAAGAGACUAGAAAUGGAAAAAGUAAGUGGAUAGGCCGUGGUUAUGGCUUAUUUUCUUUCCCCAACAGGGGAGUAUUGUAUAACAGAAUUUUGUUCAAGUAUCAGUUUUAUUCUUCAAAUAGUUAUUAUUCUUCAUACUGCAUAUGAAACAAGAGCUAUGUUUUGGGUCUAACAUACUUCUUGAUAACAGACUUUGAGUGAGCUUUUCAAAAAUUAAUAAAUAAAAAAAUAA